GGGGAAGGGGCUGAGCAGAGAAUGAAGGUGGGAGAACACGGGCGAAAAUGUAGUCUUGAUAAGAAAUGUUGAGGACCUGAAGCAGUGGGACUGGAUAAUAGGAGCAGAUUUGACAGCUAUUAAGUUGUUAGAAUUAUUAGGACUUGGCAAUUGACUGGAUUUGAGUGUUUAGAAGAAGCAGGAGGCAAGGAGGAAUCAGAGAUUUCUGAAUUGGGUAAUUGGCUUACUCUCUUUAUGCAUUUAAUCAAGAGGAGGAUCCAGUUUGGGGGAAAUAUGCAAAAUUAUUUUGGGACAUUUUCAUGCAGCUUGGUAUGUAGCUGAGGCUCAGAAAGAGGAGUCUAGGACAAAAUUUGUAUUUGAAAGUUUCCAGAAGGGAUAAAAUUUGAAGCCAUAGAAGUAUAUUACAUUGUCCAGAAUUUCUUAUCUACUUACUAUAAGCUAAAGCAAGACAGAAAACACAUUUCCCUGAAUGAGUUAAAAACACUUUCUUCGGAUAUCGCAGGUAUAAAUUGUGAUCUACCAAAGAAAGGGUUCUCUGGGUUUGGGUUGAACCAAACCAAAUGUCUUAAGGAUCAUUUCUUCAGUAUGAUAUAGAAGGUACCAUCGAGAGGACCUCUUGUUUCUGGAGGUAGACUCCUAUAAAAUCAUGCAUGCGCUCAGGAAGCUAGAAAAUAUCUUUGUAGUGGACUGGGUUAGACACACAGCCAUAGGAAGUUUUCCUGGGCUGAGAAAAUACUACCAGGCCAACUUCCUCCAUUAAGUUUUCUCUGGAAGUUGUCCUUCCUUGAAUCUACUCUAGAAUAUUUAUAGACAGGCUAGCAGUCAAUUUUUAAUUUUUUCAUGGAUGCACUUUCUUACAUCUCCUCAGGCAAGCAAACUACAAGACACUGGACAUCAGACAUCGUCAAACCCAGCUCCUUAUCUCUGCCUCUUCUUUGUCUAGUUUCCCCACAGUUAUUACUAAAUACAGACUUGAAGCACAAAGAAUUUUGGAGACUUCAGUUUCCGCUCAGAGGAACUAACCAGGGAGGUUUGGACUUUCCUGCCUCUAAUAAGGACAGUGAAAUGUGAUUGGAAGUGGCAGUGGUUGUCUGAUAGCGGAAGCUCCAUCCACCGAGGUUCUUAAGUGAGAAUGUCUUGAAUAGAGUCAACAUACCCUAACUUCCACCAACCUUUGAUAUAAAUGCAGCAUGAGUAAGAAAUAAACAUUUAUUGUUUUAAUCCACCCAGAUUUUUGGAUUGUCAAUUACCAUAGUGCAACUAGCCU
RNAcentral lists this long non-coding RNA (1267 nucleotides) under Homo sapiens (human). RNAcentral's name for it is "HSALNT0112941". Lineage: Eukaryota; Metazoa; Chordata; Mammalia; Primates; Hominidae. The record is from RNAcentral.